Molecule: ribosomal RNA, 439 nt
Filed under: uncultured bacterium
Lineage: Bacteria
Description: partial 16S ribosomal RNA
Rfam family: Bacterial small subunit ribosomal RNA
Source: RNAcentral
CUACGGGCGGCUGCAGUGAGGAAUAUUGCACAAUGGGGGGAACCCUGAUGCAGCAACGCCGCGUGGAGGAUGACGCAUUUCGGUGUGUAAACUCCUUUUAUAUGUCAAGAAAAUGACGGUAGCAUAUGAAUAAGCACCGGCUAACUCCGUGCCAGCAACCGCGGUAAUACGGAGGGUGCAAGCGUUACUCGGAAUCACUGGGCGUAAAGGACGCGUAGGCGGGUUAGAAAGUCAGGUGUGAAAUCCUACAGCUUAACUGUAGAACUGCACUUGAAACUUCUAAUCUAGAGUAUGGGAGGGGGAGAUGGAAUUAGUGGUGUAGGGGUAAAAUCCGUAGAUAUCACUAGGAAUACCUAAAGCGAAGGCGAUCUCCUGGAACAUUACUGACGCUAAGGCGUGAAAGCGUGGGGAGCAAACAGGAUUAGAUACCCGAGUAGUC